GGCUUCGAAACUCAGGUGGUAGAGCGUGCGCUAUACGAAAGCGUGGCCGGCGCCCAUAUGUGGGUUCGAAUCCCACUGAGGCUA
RNAcentral lists this transfer RNA (84 nucleotides) under Echinostoma caproni. It matches the Rfam family "tRNA". From Rfam's summary of the family: Transfer RNA (tRNA) molecules are approximately 80 nucleotides in length. Lineage: Eukaryota; Metazoa; Platyhelminthes; Trematoda; Plagiorchiida; Echinostomatidae. The record is from Rfam by way of RNAcentral.